CCCAAAAAAAAAUUAAAAUACUGUAAUUCUUCCAUCCCUUCCUCCCCAAAAUGCCGAACUCAGCAAUUAUAUCAAAAAGUCUGCACGUUUAACAAGAAUAUCAUCCUAAUAAUUCCAAAAUCACAUCAAAACACGGGCACAAACCAAGAAUUUUAACCAAGAGAAAAUGAAACAUGAGUCUAAUAUAGAGAAUUAUUCCUCAACAAAUAUUGUUAAAAAGAUUACCAUCCCAACCCACCUGGUUUGAUUGUAAGUGGUGAGAGGGUUGAUAUCUUAGGAGGGUGGCGGUGAUAAAUAUGGGAUUGAAUGGAGGAGAUGAUACAUACACCGAGUAAUAAAUAUAUAAAGCUGAAAGAAAAGAAAAAACAAGAUCCUCCUCGAUCGAACACCCCCUCCUCGAUCGUACAGAAAAAACAGAUGGUCUCGUUGAGCUGCAGUAACUUCAAAACGGUUGUCGAUACCGUCAUCUCCGAUUCCACCCUCCCUUCUCCCACCGCCAUCCUCGGGAUCACGGUUGUCAAACAUCAACGCCGCCGCCCACUCCCCAUCCUCUCCUCCCUUCUUCAAGUUUCAGAUCUGAUUUGAGAGAUAUGAUGAGUAAUUAACUUGGUCAGUGUUUUUGAUUUGUGACUAAUAACCCUUAAAACCAAACUCUGAUCUCCUUUUUUUUUUUAUUGCCUUCUAGAUUUUGAUUUAAUUAUUU
This 703-nucleotide long non-coding RNA is filed under the name Panax ginseng (ginseng). Its description in RNAcentral is "long non-coding RNA (PGIN_LNC014047)". Lineage: Eukaryota; Viridiplantae; Streptophyta; Magnoliopsida; Apiales; Araliaceae. The record is from RNAcentral.